AGAGUUUGAUCCUGGCUCAGGACGAACGCUGGCGGCGUGCUUAACACAUGCAAGUCGAACGGAAAGGCCCUGCUUGCAGUACUCGAGUGGGCGAACGGGUGAGUAACACGUGGGUGAUCUGCCCUGCACUUCGGGAUAAGCCUGGGCAAACUGGGUCUAAUACCGGAUAGGAGCCAUUUUUUAGUGUGUGAUGGUUGGAAAGUUUUUUUCGGUGUAGGUAGAGCUCGCGGCCUAUCAGCUUGUUGGUGGGUAAUGGCUACCAAGGCGGCGACGGUAGCCGGCCUGAGAGGGUGGACGACAAUUGGGACUAGAUACGGCCAGACUCUACGGAGGCAGCAGUGGGAUAUUGCACAUGGCGCAGCUGAUGCAGCGACGCGCGUGGGUAGACGGCUCGGUUGUAACUCCUUCGCUAGGACGAAGCUUUUGUGACGGUACCUAGAUAAGAAGCACCGGCUAAGUACGUGCCAGCAGCCGCGGUAAUACGUAGGGUGCGAGCGUUGUCCGGAAUUACUGGCGUAAAGGGCUCGUAGGUGGUUUGUCGCGUCGUCUGUGAAAUUCCGGGGCUUAACUCCGGGCGUGCAGGCGAUACGGGCAUAACUUGAGUACUGUAGGGGUAACUGGAAUUCCUGGUGUAGCGGUGAAAUGCGCAGAUAUGAGGAGGAACACCGAUGGCGAAGGCAGGUUACUGGGCAGUUACUGACGCUGAGGAGCGAAAGCAUGGGUAGCGUAACAGGAUUAGAUACCCUGGUAGUCCAUGCCGUAAACGGUGGGCGCUAGGUGUGAGGGUCUUUUCACGACUUUCGUGCCGUAGCUAACGCAUUAAGCGCCCCGCCUGGGGAGUACGGCCGCAAGUAAAACUCAAAGGAAUUGACGGGGGCCCGCACAAGCGCGGAGCAUGUGGAUUAAUUCGAUGCAACGCGAAGAACCUUACCUGGGCUUGACAUACACUGGUACGGGCUAGAGAUAGUCUUUCCCUUUGUGGCUGGUGUACAGGUGGUGCAUGGUUGUCGUCACUCGUGUCGUGAGAUGUUGGGUUAAGUCCCGCAACGAGCGCAACCCUUGUCUUAUGUUGCCAGCAUUUGGUUGGGACUCUAUGAGAGACUGCCGGGUCAACUCGGAGGAAGGUGGGAUGACGUCAAAUCAUCAUGCCCCUUAUGUCCAGGGCUUCACACAUGCUACAAUGGUCGGUACAACCGCAGCGACACUGUGAGGUGGAGCGAAUCGCUGAAAGCCGGCCUUAGUUCGGAUUGGGGUCUGCAACUCGACCCCAUGAAGUCGGAGUCGCUAGUAAUCGCAGAUCAGCAAUGCUGCGGUGAAUACGUUCCCGGGCCUUGUACACACCGCCCGUCACUUGAUGAAAGUUGGUAACACCCGAAGCCGGUGGCCCAAACUUGUUAGGGAGCCGUCGAAGGUGGGAUCGGCGAUUGGGACGAAGUCGUAACAAGGUA
This 1448-nucleotide ribosomal RNA is filed under the name Corynebacterium pseudogenitalium. Its description in RNAcentral is "bacterial SSU rRNA". It matches the Rfam family "Bacterial small subunit ribosomal RNA". Lineage: Bacteria; Bacillati; Actinomycetota; Actinomycetes; Mycobacteriales; Corynebacteriaceae. RNAcentral also lists the same sequence under 1 other name. The record is from RNAcentral.